This 412-nucleotide ribosomal RNA is filed under the name Fusarium keratoplasticum. RNAcentral describes it as "partial large subunit ribosomal RNA". It matches the Rfam family "Eukaryotic large subunit ribosomal RNA", at positions 163 to 583 of the family's 3401-position model. The record is from RNAcentral. Lineage: Eukaryota; Fungi; Ascomycota; Sordariomycetes; Hypocreales; Nectriaceae.
UUUUGGUGAGGUGCCUUCCGAGUUCCCUGGAACGGGACGCCAUAGAGGGUGAGAGCCCCGUCUGGUUGGACACCGAUCCUCUGUAAAGCUCCUUCGACGAGUCGAGUAGUUUGGGAAUGCUGCUCUAAAUGGGAGGUAUAUGUCUUCUAAAGCUAAAUACCGGCCAGAGACCGAUAGCGCACAAGUAGAGUGAUCGAAAGAUGAAAAGAACUUUGAAAAGAGAGUUAAACAGUACGUGAAAUUGUUGAAAGGGAAGCGCUUGUGACCAGACUUGGGCUUGGUUGAUCAUCCGGGGUUCUCCCCGGUGCACUCUUCCGGCCCAGGCCAGCAUCAGUUCGCCCUGGGGGACAAAGGCUUCGGGAAUGUGGCUCUCUCCGGGGAGUGUUAUAGCCCGUUGCGUAAUACCCUGUGG